Molecule: ribosomal RNA, 402 nt
Filed under: uncultured bacterium
Lineage: Bacteria
Description: bacterial SSU rRNA
Rfam family: Bacterial small subunit ribosomal RNA
Source: RNAcentral
UAUUGCACAAUGGGCGCAAGCCUGAUGCAGCCAUGCCGCGUGUAUGAAGAAGGCCUUCGGGUUGUAAAGUACUUUCAGUUGUGAGGAAGGGGGUAGUGUUAAUAGCGCUAUCUCUUGACGUUAGCAACAGAAGAAGCACCGGCUAACUCCGUGCCAGCAGCCGCGGUAAUACGGAGGGUGCGAGCGUUAAUCGGAAUUAUUGGGCGUAAAGGGCAAGUAGGUGGUCUCAUUUGUCUGGGGUGAAAGCCUUGAGCUUAACUCAAGAAGUGCCUCAGAAACGGUGAGACUCGAGUUCUGGAGAGGGUCGUGGAAUUCCCGGUGUAGCGGUGAAAUGCGUAGAGAUCGGGAGGAACACCUGAGGCGAAGGCGGCGACCUGACAGAUACUACACUCAACUGCGAAA